RNAcentral lists this ribosomal RNA (497 nucleotides) under uncultured bacterium. RNAcentral describes it as "partial 16S ribosomal RNA". It matches the Rfam family "Bacterial small subunit ribosomal RNA", at positions 28 to 507 of the family's 1533-position model. The record is from RNAcentral.
GAUGAACGCUGGCGGCGUGCCUAAUACAUGCAAGUCGAGCGAACAGAUGAGGAGCUUGCUCCUCUGACGUUAGCGGCGGACGGGUGAGUAACACGUGGAUAACCUACCUAUAAGACUGGGAUAACUUCGGGAAACCGGAGCUAAUACCGGAUAAUAUAUUGAACCGCAUGGUUCAAUAGUGAAAGACGGUUUUGCUGUCACUUAUAGAUGGAUCCGCGCCGCACUAGCUAGUUGGUAAGGUAACGGCUUACCAAGGCAACGAUGCGUAGCCGACCUGAGAGGGUGAUCGGCCACACUGGAACUGAGACACGGUCCAGACUCCUACGGGAGGCAGCAGUAGGGAAUCUUCCGCAAUGGGCGAAAGCCUGACGGAGCAACGCCGCGUGAGUGAUGAAGGUCUUCGGACCGUAAAACUCUGUUAUUAGGGAAGAACAAAUGUGUAAGUAACUAUGCACGUCUUGACGGUACCUAAUCAGAAAGCCACGGCUAACUACGUG